UGUGACAAUGUUUUUGGGGCAAGAAUGCCCUUGCUGUGGGAUGGGCAGAGAUUACAAGUACCCUCCUCUUGCUGAGCUGCUGAUUUCUUCUGCCAGCAGUAUGAUGUUCCCCCAACUGUAUUGUUCAAAGGGGUAGCAAAGGCAACCAGCAUGAGGCAGUGCCAGCCAGGCUGAGCCCCAGCAGUACAGGAGGGACCCCAAGACAUGUCCAGCCCCUCCUUCACCCCAUCCUUUGCUCCAUCCUUUCCCCACCCUGGCUGCAAGCAUGGCUUGGCCGCGUGUUGCAGUUAUCACCAGUGACAUCCUGCCACUGUGUGUGUAGAGUCCCCCCUGCAGAGGCACAAGUCCCCUCUUGGUGUGUGUGUGCUGCUGUAGCUGUGCCCGUCAACCGGCACAGACUGGCAGCAGCUCUGCUCCUUUCUGUUUCCUUUUCGAUCCCUCUCUUCUUUAUGGUGAACGACUUUGUGCUUUGCAGACAAGCUCAUUAGGACCUCCACAGACUUGAAGCUGCUGUGCCACAGGAAGGAGGGUCGCCCCCAGCUUGCAGCCCCUCAGCUAUGUGUGAUUGAGAUGUCUCGCCAGUGACAGCCAGGCAGGAGGGAAUCGCGGUGCAGCUCUGACUGAGCCACGGCUCUUGUGUGCAUGUUCAUGGGCUGCUUCUGCCCAAACUGUCCCUCUGCAAAGGCAGGGGGAGAGGUUGGGGUCAGAGCCACUCUGCCACUGAGGGGGUCAUGAGGGCUGGGGAGGCCAGAAGCUGGUGGUGGGCUGGAGGAGGAGGAGGUGUGCCCCUCGGGAAUGGUGAUCAUGGGGUUAUAGGCUCCUAGAUGGAGCAUGGCCAGCUGCUUGUUCUAAGAACAGGUCCCUGCUGCCAGAACUGUCUGAAAUAGUGUUCUGAUCCUGGCUGCUGCUUUGCUGACUGUGAAGGAAUGCUCUGAUCUCACUUUGUCCUCAUGUUCCAUCCCAGAGAAACAGCCCCACUGCCAAGCAUGGUCCAGCUCAUGGGCAAGAUGGGUAAAAAUCUUAUCAUUUCACUGGUUGGUGCAAGGGAGGCUUUUUGCAGGGAGGGAAACACCGCCUUACAGGGAGUCCAUGGGAUGUGCCUGGGGAUCUCCCAGCAGUUCCACUAACUGGAGGGCAAUGACCUGGCCUCUUGUUUUCCAUCCACAUAAGGGUUAGGAGAGAUUAAGAACAUGAAUAUCAAGAGCUUGUUAAGAAGGGUUAAAGAGCCCCGGGUAAGGGAAGGGGCAGAGAAGACUCCUACAGAACACAUCUGUGGCUAGGACUUUGGGGGCAAGAAUAUUUCUAGGGUAUUUUCCUUUGGGUAAAACUGCCUGUAAAAUCCAAGUCUCAGCAACAUUCACGACAAACCCAGCCAACACCUCCCUGGGCACGUCCACAUCUCACCCUGACAAGCUCUAUGCUGCUGGAGGGAUGCUCAGCCACCACAGUGUCAUGUCUGUGGAGGGAUCUGAGGGCUGGAGCCCUCACAUACAGGAGCAGCUAUGGUGUCAUACCAAAGGAUUUGUCCCCUGGAUUCUAUGCACCAUCUGGAGCCGUUGUGGCAUCACUGCAUCCUGCAGCAGCAUGGUGCCCAGUGGGGGCAUGGCUGAAGCUCUCCCUUUCAUGGACUUGGAGCAAGCCUGAAGUCAGUUCAUACCCUCCGCUGGGGUUUUUAGAGCUCUGAGAAGAAGCUGGUGCAGUUGCUUUGCUGCCCUCUCAGCUGAUAGUCCCCAGAAGGUGCUCGGACAAAUGGGGUCACUUAAGGAAGCACUCAGAUGAUGGUCUCAGGAGACUCUGUGUCCCUUCCCUGAUGAUUUUCUGGCCAAGAGAACCCAAGCUCUGGAGACAACAGCAUGAGGCAGGGUUGAGCUGCUUCUGCGUUUGUCCUGGGAACGGUUGGGAACAUGUCUCCUGUAGCUCUUCCAUUGCUUUCUGGAGCUGUCCCUGACCCCGCAUACAGCACUGCUGCUCUCCCAGCACACACAGCAAACUCCCCGAGCUGCUUCCCAAAGUGCAGCCAGGCUCAUUCCUGAUUCCCAGGCCCCAUCCCUGCCUGUGAGCAUCUGGGAGCCAAGGCUGUGCUGCCAUCGUCCCUUCCUUGAAUGCCGACUGUACAAACCCACUGCUGCUUCCCACUGUCAUUAAAAUAGAUGGGCAUGCUGCGCUCAGCUCCCUCGGCAGCAGUGGUGGAAAACAACUUGGAUUUCACUGUCUCAGGGGCAACCUUUCAGCAGGAACAUGCAGGGACUCGGUCUGGGGGGACAUUGCUGGCGCUUGAGCCAGAAUCGAGUGCUGAGGAAGACAGUGAACGGUCAUCACAGAUAGCCACCUCCGUAGGCAGUCACUGGCUCAGUUUGGAUUGAAGGCAAAUGGCCCAGAACUUUGAUUGACCAGCCCAAACUAUGUGGUGUGCUACCCGGGGGAAAGAGCCCGGUCUGAGUCCUCCCAUCCUGUGGCAUAAGCAGGUAGCCUGUGUCCCUGCCAUGGCACUCAUUACCCUGACCAGCAGCAGAGCCCCAGCUCGCAUGGCUAUGGGGUCCCCAGCCCCAAGCCAUCCUGCUGGAGCUGUGCCCACCAGGGCCAGGCUCUCAUGGAUUUCCUAACCCUCUGCUUCCCCUCCUACAUUCACUUCCCUUGUAUUGUUCUGGACAAAGCUAAAAGGAAACGCUCGCAGACCAGCCAUCACGUGAAAACUUCAUCCUCCAAAUCAAUUCCUGACUCUAGCAGCAUCGGGCCUCUCCAGAGGUAGGAUGGGGAGCACACUCUGCAAAUGUCAUUAUGCAGUGGCCUCCUCUGACUGCUGAGAGAUGGGGAUUGUGCUUGCAGCUUCCUUCAUGCAGCCAGGCAGUGAUGGCAUUACAGGAUUUCAAAAGUGGGCCUCUGUGACUGGACGUGGUGAAAUAAUAGAGAAAAGAAGCGUGAGGGACUCUGCUGAACUUUUGCCCCUGCAUGAAAUAAUAAGGUUGUAUUUACCCAGCAUCUGGAUCUCUGAAAAUAACCUGCUAAAUUUAGCUGUUGUUGAUAUGUUGUCACAGCUGAGCUAUUCUUCUUCUCUCUUUACAUGAAAAUCUCUUGUGCUGGUUC
Molecule: long non-coding RNA, 3084 nt
Organism: Pezoporus occidentalis (night parrot)
Lineage: Eukaryota; Metazoa; Chordata; Aves; Psittaciformes; Psittacidae
Exons: 2
Source: RefSeq, a predicted model, not a curated record